This is a long non-coding RNA of Acanthopagrus latus (yellowfin seabream), 1418 nucleotides long. RefSeq lists it as uncharacterized. NCBI's taxonomy places the organism in Eukaryota, Metazoa, Chordata, Actinopteri, Spariformes, Sparidae. The record is from RefSeq and is a predicted model, not a curated record. The transcript is spliced from 3 exons.
UCUGAAGACAGGCUGCACACAUCUUGUGCAAAAAAAGAAAACAACUAUAGGUAGAAAGGCUAUAUGAACCUCUUGGUGUGAAGAACCUGAAGUUUCAUUUUGCUCUUUUUGUUUUUGUUUCACCACAUAUAGAGCAGGUCAGACACUUUCACGAGGAAGCAAACUGGAACCAACAGAGGACAAAAAUAACUCUAACGAAGUCAAAGCAGCCUGCUCAAAUUCAAUCAGACACCAUGAGCUCUGUGAGACAUCCAUUAGAGGAAAUGCACUGGUGUCUGUCUGGAGGGGAGCUGCACAGUGUCGUGACUAACUUUCACUUUGACUUUGGGACAACAUGUUUUGACUAACGCCAGACUACAGAAACUUUCUGAGACUAGAUGUGUGAGCUGAGCGCACAGGAGCUGAACACUGUAGACACAUCAACACUUUCAGCUGAUCUGAGGUCAGACGGCAGACUGGACAAACAUGAAGGGGGGUCGGCCAAACAAAAACAGCUACAACAGCAAGCCUACCUCUUCAAAAGUCUUUUUAGAUAUAUAUCCGCCUAUGUUCCUCCUGGAGACGUCCUCGCUGCCACUCUAGCCGGGGUCAUGAUGAGGUUUCGGGCUUGAAUGGGACGGAGCGGUCCGUGAUGAGGCGGGGAGGAGGGUGAAGCAGGAGCCCGGGAUGAGCUGGAGGCACCGUGUCGAGCACUUUCUGCUCCAACAUCUGCUCACUGCUCAAGGUCACAACAUCUGCAGUAUGUCCACUAUGAUGCCAGAAAUACUCGUGACCUUCCUGUGGGGACCUACACUGCAUGUGUGGACUCAACGGCAUAAACACAUUUAUUACUUCAAAUUUGAAUGUGCAGUGUUACUUUUUCAAUUUCUGAUUGCACUUCUUGUAUAUGUUAUAUACUACCAUCCUCUGCUUCUCAAUGUCAUUAUCUAUACUGCCUUUCCUAUUUAGUUUUUAUCGUAGUUGACUUAUUUUCCCUUAAUUCACCUAUUUUAAAUUUGUAUUGUCAUAUUUUUCAACACUGAUGACAGCAUUUGCACCUUUCUUAUUAUUAGUCAGUUGUGUUUUUGCAUUUUAUUGUUAUGUUAAUGUAUUUCUGAGCAUUUUCUGCCACAAGUUUUUCCAUCGCGUACAAUGAAGUGCUACAUCAUCUUUUAAUAAUACUUCUAGUAGUGUUUUCAAAUCCAUGGUACAUGGUUUUUGUUUGGAUCAAGAUGGACAUUAAUUUCAUUGUUAUUAAGAACAUAGAGGGAGAUGAUGACAAAUCCAAAGAUUUUGGCCAAGAAAAAAGCCAAAUCUAUCUUGUUGAAUUGGGGGAGCUAACCAUAGCUGACAAAGCACUGGUAUAUUACAGAGGAGCAGCUCUAUAAUUGAAAAAAAAAUAUAUGUGGUAAAGACUAAAAUUGUGAGUAGAAAAAACA